GCAAUAUGUCCUCUCAUUCUUGUUCAGCUUGUCCAAAUGGCAAAGAUUCUCUUGAAGGAUCAACUUAUCUGGCUGAUUGUUUUCAUGAACAUGGUUGUUACGAGGACAAUGUUUUUGGAGCUGGCAGUGUUCUAGGAGUGCUGAGACAGACAGACAUUAAAGCUUGCAUCCUGGGCUGUAGAUCGCAAGAUGGUUGCUCAAGAGUUUCUUUCGUUCAGAAUGGUACUUGUUGGCUGCACCAUGAGAGGGUCAUUGGCGAUGACCACUCUGAGUCAAGAAUUGGAGUAGUUUCAACCUCGUUAAAAUGUCUAGAUGGUUGCAAGCCAGGAUAUAAAUUUGAUGUUGCAAUCAAGAGAUGCUCAGUUUGCCCAUUGAACACUGCUUGCAAUGGACUAACC
Molecule: long non-coding RNA, 398 nt
Organism: Bolinopsis microptera
Lineage: Eukaryota; Metazoa; Ctenophora; Tentaculata; Lobata; Bolinopsidae
Exons: 3
Source: RefSeq, a predicted model, not a curated record